UAAACUCAAUUUUCAUCAACCUGUUGUGAACACUACUUUUAAAUAAGUAAGUAGUAAUUUGGGGUUGGAGAACUUGCUUAACUUGAUAUAUCCCAGUUAAGUCAAAUUAGAAAAAAUAAUUUCUUGUACCCAGUGUCCUUUGGGCGUUCUAUCAGACAUGCGCAGAUCUGCCCUGCCCACUUUCGCGCUCUUUCCAACACCUUUCUCAGUUAUUUUCGCCAUUGUGGGUUUACUUGUCCUCAGCACACUGAUUUGGUAAGUACAUAUUUUACUCUUUUGUAAACCGUCGAUUUGUCUUGUUGUAGUGUAGUAGCCUGUGUGCUGCCAGGGAGGAGAAGUGUCAAUUACAUCAAAUAUCACCGCUAGCAAGCAUGCUAUAUGACCGUGACAGGAACCUCAUCAUUUUCAGAAACAAAUGUAGACUACAGUUUAUGGUAGACUCCCAUUUUAUGCCGGCCGGCGUUUUGAAUUCUUGACAGACGGGGCUCGUAACGUUUUUAGGCGAUGGGAGAGGUUUUUAAAACCGAUUUAAAACAGUUACCGAGCGGUUUUAAGUUAGGUAGACCGAGGGGAGGUUCGCUUCCUGUUUUAAAAAUAAAAACACUAAUUCUAUCGUUAGCGGGUGUUUUAUUUUGUGAAACUAACAGGAAGUGCCUUAAUCACUACGGCUAGCUUGAGUAGCGCCGAAUUUGCACGUUGUGGAUCUAAACGGCUACUUUCUCACGUAAAAAUGUUAGAAAUGUCGAUAAAGUGAUUUAUUUACAGAGUUAGUGCUAGAAUUAAGUCAGCUUCAGCCUGUCUAUUUCGGCUCAGGAAUACAGAUAGAAAGAGUGCAGAGAUCACACUCGACGCCAUAACAACCUGGUGUGUUUAAGGUUGGUCAUUUAUGUGCCUAUAUUUUGAAAUUGUUGCCUUAAUUUUGUGUUCUUUUUCACCAUCCCCCAAUCAGGCUGAAGCAAAUGGUCAAAAGUCCACACAUACCUCAGUCUCAGCAAUUACAGGUCAACCAAAGCAGUAUUCUCUAAUGCAGUGGACUUGCAAGUACUGCACAUUUUCUGCUGAAAAGAGCCUACUUGCUUAAGCAUUACCGCUUAAAACAUGGAUACCACACUCGGACAUCCCUACUCCCAUGUCUUCAUAAGGACUGCCUCUGCACAUUUAAAUCUUUUAAUGCACUCAAAGUACACCUAUCGACAUGGCACUCUCAAAAAGAUGCAGGCAAAAGUGGAGAAACUGCAUUUGACCGUCAGUUGUGCAACUUUGUGGAGCCCUGCUCAGAAGCAGACUUCUUUACCCAUUUGCGAGGACAUCUUAAGCUGAGGCAAAUGGUUACUUGCCCAUAUCAAGACUAACUUUCAGAGCAGUAUUUAUUCGACCUUCACUGCACACAAAAGCAAAGAAAUGUGAAAUGUGUUUGAGCCAUAGUGUGGGUAGGACAUUUGUGUCUAAAUCAUUCAAUCCCAAUAAAAGUUGCUUUAAUAAAAAAAAAAAACUUAUUUUUAAUCAAAGAAAAAGAACCUUUUGCAAAAAUAUAUUUUUUUGAAAAUAUAUAUAUUUUUAAAUAUAUAUUUUUUUUAUUGACGUGUCACUUUUUUUUUAAAGGAAAAAGUUUAAAACUUUUUUUUUAAAGUGGAAAAAGUUUUGAACGCAUUUCUUUUUUUCUUUU
This is a long non-coding RNA of Corythoichthys intestinalis (scribbled pipefish), 1666 nucleotides long. RefSeq lists it as uncharacterized. Lineage: Eukaryota; Metazoa; Chordata; Actinopteri; Syngnathiformes; Syngnathidae. The transcript is spliced from 3 exons. The record is from RefSeq and is a predicted model, not a curated record.